RNAcentral lists this ribosomal RNA (743 nucleotides) under uncultured bacterium. RNAcentral's name for it is "bacterial SSU rRNA". It matches the Rfam family "Bacterial small subunit ribosomal RNA", at positions 8 to 796 of the family's 1533-position model. The record is from RNAcentral.
AGAGUUUGAUCAUGGCUCAGAGCGAACGCUGGCGGCAGGCCUAACACAUGCAAGUCGAGCGGCCGUAGCAAUACGGCAGCGGCAGACGGGAGAGUAACACGUGGGAACGCGCCCUUCGGUUCGGAAUAACUCAGGGAAACUUGGGCUAAUACCGGAUACGCCCUUACGGGGAAAGAUUUAUUGCCGAAGGAACGGCCCGCGUCCGAUUAGCUUGUUGGUGAGGUAACGGCUCACCAAGGCGACGAUCGGUAGCUGGUCUGAGAGGAUGACCAGCCUCACUGGGACUGAGACACGGCCCAGACUCCUACGGGAGGCAGCAGUGGGGAAUAUUGGACAAUGGGCGCAAGCCUGAUCCAGCCAUGCCGCGUGGGUGAUGAAGGCCCUAGGGUUGUAAAGCCCUUUCAGCGGGGAAGAUAAUGACGGUACCCGCAGAAGAAGCCCCGGCUAACUUCGUGCCAGCAGCCGCGGUAAUACGAAGGGGGCUAGCGUUGCUCGGAAUUACUGGGCGUAAAGCGCACGUAGGCGGAUUGUUAAAUCGGGGGUGAAAUCCUGGAGCUCAACUCCAGAACUGCCUUCGAUACUGGCGAUCUCGAGUUCGGGAGAGGUGAGUGGAACUGCGAGUGUAGAGGUGAAAUUCGUAGAUAUUCGCAAGAACACCAGUGGCGAAGGCGGCUCACUGGCCCGAUACUGACGCUGAGGUCGAAAGCGUGGGGAGCAAACAGGAUUAGAUACCCUAGUAGUCC